AACCUCUCUGUGUGAGGAACAUGAAGCUCUGAGGAUGAAGAGACAGAGACCAGACUCUCCUGGACCCAGCUGUGUGUCCAUGAGGAGUGACCUGUCCAAAGAUCUCCCUCUUGACUUUAAAGAUGGACGUCCUGCUGAUGGAAGGAUGAAGAGACAGAGACCAGACUCUCCUGGACCCAGCUGUGUG
Molecule: non-coding RNA, 187 nt
Organism: Labrus bergylta (ballan wrasse)
Lineage: Eukaryota; Metazoa; Chordata; Actinopteri; Labriformes; Labridae
Source: RefSeq, a predicted model, not a curated record